GCUGCUAAACCUCUUACAACGGAGGCAAUUGCUCUUACAGAGAAGAAAAUGGACAUGGCAUUAGAAGACAUUAUCAAAAUGUCUAAAAAACACCAAAACUAAGGCUAAGAAGCCACGAAGGGUUCCAAACAAGAGUCAGAGAUCUUCAAAUACUCUUGCUCAGGAUAAAUAUAUGAAGGUGAAACGUUUUAUGGACACAAGAUCCUCCCUUAGACAGGGGGUCUUGGCACAGAGAAGGUCGAAUUUCCAGGGGAGCCAUUUUCCUCUGGCAAUUGAGGUUGCACGGAAGGCUGCAGCUGCUACGCUUCGUAAUAGAAAUUUCAGUCGUAACAGGGUGGCUAAUUGGAACAAAUCAAGGUAAUUGGGUAAAUCCUGAUUCUUCUGUAGUAUUGAUCAGCUUCCCAUUCAUGUUUACCAAAUCAAAUAGUGUCAUGGAAGUCCUGCAUAUGAUUUGUUUCAGUGUGAAUCAGCCAAUUUGGGAAUAUUUUCAACUGCUGAUGGUUUCUGUCAUGCCAGCCUUUAUAGCUGGCUUGCAUCAUAACCUUUGUUUAUGUGGUGUGCAAAGGAAGUUGUAGUUGAGUAGUGCAUGUCUAAUUUGAUUAUGGAUAUGCUUGUUCGAAAAUCGGAGGUUUGUUAUUUGGAUUGGCUGUUGAAGCAGUGGAUUAUAAGUGAUAAAAAGGGACAUGACUGGAUGAAGAUGGGUUGAUGAAAAUGUGAAAUCAAGUGUGAUAUGGAAGUUCACACAACUGUAUUAUGCGAAGAAAGCUAUCACGUUUGCACUGACAAGUUAACAUUCUGCAUUUUAAGUGGCUCAUUGCUUUAAAAAAUUUACAUGAUUUGUGGCGUUGUGGAUGUUUUCUAGUAAUUGAAUUCAAUGCAGCAGUCUCUAUCUUUCUAUAGCCUAUCCGAAGCUUUCAGUCAUCUCGUCACAUGUAUUGGUAUUCUUCCAUAUGAUCCAUGGCAAGACCUGCUGCUUUUCCUUGAUCUGUCAGAUUGUUCAUUCUUGAGGUGUGAUAGGUUGUGCUGGUCCAUACAAUUUGCUCUGGUCCUCCAUCCCUGAAGCAUUGUUGGCCUUCAUACACUGAUAAUUUUUCUUGGAAGAUACUGCUGUGGGGAAAUUGACACCCUUCAGUCUUAAGGCCUCUUAAUCCGGAGAUUUCUGCAUUUUGGAACUUGUCUGGAUUUUCUAGUCCAUGGGACUGACACCUCAUCUCUGCUUUUCUUGUUCUUUCUUGCUAGCUACCUGGGUGAUUGGGUUGUCAUCUGUUUUAUCCCAUGGGAUGCAACUAAAAUGGAUAUUUAUGGGUCAACUAAACACAAGUCACGUGUUUCAGGUUUUUGUAGAGUGAAUUUCCCGCUUGGGAUAUUGGAAGUUUGGAUAGCUGAAUGUCAAGGAGUAGAGUUGUGCUCAUGUUAUUUAUUUUCAAAUUCUUUAGUGGUUGGCAGCUGUGUUGGCAAUGUAGUUUUGUUUUAUCCUAGUUUUACUAGGUGUAGAAAUUGGAUACUCAUUGUUCGGCAAUAGUUACCGUGAGUGAUGCAAUCAAAGAGUUUUCAAGAUAUCAGAUUUGGAAGUCCCUCAGCAGAGUCUUCUAUUUAUUGAACUAAAUGCUGAACGAGCCACUGUGGUUUUUCAAGUCCUGCUCCCUUGUGAUUGUUUUACUUUUCCUCUCCGCUUGACCAUUGUGUGAGGUCUGAACUCUAGAUCGGGCCCUUAUUGGUAAGGGCUGUUGUAUAGAAGAAUCGGUACUGCAGGUGUCACUUUCUUGAAGCGACUACUUUUUUCUGAAAUGGUUUGUAUUAGCAUUAUGUUAGUUGGCUAUAAGACAUGAUGGUAAGUCACUAGACUCAAUUGAGUGAGCAUAAAUCUGAGGGUGGUGGUAUAAUUAUUAAUCAUCCGUAUUUGGUACAGUGCGUUCUGAAUUCUACCUCGUUGGUCUUGCCUCAUGAUGAUAUGUUCUGUUUAAGCUAUCCAAUCAUUAUUUCUAUCUCUCGGUGCAGGGGUGGUGCUCCAGUGGUCCCGAGGAGGGCUCCAAAUGGAGGAUCUUCUGCUAAGUCACAGCUCAUGCAGCCGCAGGAGGCAAAUGCAGUACCGAAGCAGAGGUCUACGCUGGACUCACUGUUUGCAAACAUGAAGGAGCAAAGAAUGAAGAUCAUGUCACAGCAGAACAAUGUUGCACAACGUAACGGUGGUGCCCUGCGAAGACCCCCAUGGGCAAGAGGCCAAGGGAGCAACUAAUUCAAAUUACUUUGACAGCUGGAACGGAUAUCUUACUGUGUAAAGACAAGUCAUGGUGGUCAUGUAUACUGGGUCUGCCUGCACAUCCAGUUGAUCCGAGUUGGAAUACCGAGAGUGCCCAAGUGCAGAAUCUAGGGCCGUCCUCUUUUUCAAUUUCUUGUACUACCAUUUCCUUUAACAUCUUGACGAUGGGUGAUUUGUAAUUCCUUUUAGGCUUGCCUUGCACUGUCAAUGUAUAGCACCUUUUUACGGAAUGUGGAUCCUUUGCUUGAUUUCA
Molecule: RNA transcript, 2513 nt
Organism: Juglans microcarpa x Juglans regia
Lineage: Eukaryota; Viridiplantae; Streptophyta; Magnoliopsida; Fagales; Juglandaceae
Exons: 5
Source: RefSeq, a predicted model, not a curated record